Gigantopelta aegis is the source of this 3022-nucleotide long non-coding RNA. RefSeq lists it as uncharacterized. The record is from RefSeq and is a predicted model, not a curated record. NCBI's taxonomy places the organism in Eukaryota, Metazoa, Mollusca, Gastropoda, Neomphalida, Peltospiridae. The transcript has 2 exons.
CCCCCGUAGCGGUCCCUCUCCAGAACACAGGCCUGCACGACACGUUCUCCACGACGGCGGUAAAUGCAACGACGUCGGUCCGUGACACUCACGUUAAAUCUCAAUUCAUCCGAGAAGAUGACAUCUCGCCAUCUCCUGGGUCGCAAAUGCCCACCAUUCCUGGCCCAUAAGAGUCUUGCUUGACGAUGUCUGUGCAGGAGGAUAAGGCCACGGUAGGGUCGGUGGCAAUGCAGUCGUGCUGCGGCAAGACGUCUCCGGACAGUUUGGGUGCUGAAGAGUCGUCCCCUGGUUCCCACUUCAGUCCUGGCAGUGCUUGCGGCUGUCAAAAACCGAUUGCGCAGGUGCCGCAACCGUAUGUUCCGGUCCUGUCUAUUGGUCGUUACGCGUGGUGUGCCCGAACGACGGCAGUCAUUGACGGUCCCUGUCGUCUGAUAUCGGUUGAGGAGCCGAUUAAUGGUUGACGGGUGCACGUGGAACCGUUGUGCUACCCGCAAUUGCGAGUUUCCGGCAUUCAACAAGCCAAUGGCUUGAUUCCGAUCGGCGUUGUUUAACCGAGGCAUCGUGUAGGAGUGAUAUACUCAUUGCCACCCGCGUGUUCUGAGUGUGCCCGGGUAUCAGGAAAUGCACGUGCAAAGUGUUAUUUCGCCAAGUGGUUGCGUGUGCGCGAUUUACCGGAUAAUGCGUUUUUAGCGUUGUUCCCCUUAUGUUGGGAACAGGCCUGAAGUCGACCUUUACAUGCUGCUGAAAUAAUGUAUACCACUGUACCAUGUACAUUGACGAAUAGCGUCAACGAAGUCCAACCGGAACGUAUAUUAUUUUGACAAAAGGAAAUUGCAUUAUUAAUGCCGGCUAGUAUAGGUUAGUUAACAAUUUUAUUAAAUACCGUAAUUUUUUUAGUUGUCUCCAUUAUCAUGUUGCUGCCAUCAUAAAAUCCAAUUAACACUUUUAAACAUCAAAUGUGGUCAACAAUUGGACCAUAUUUGCAGAUUGUGCUUUUGUUAUUGUACAUGUGUAUGUAGCCAAAACUUGCAUUAUUAGAUCCUGCUUUAGUUUGCAAAUUCUGAUUGCACAAACACAAAUAAGUAGGUUGGAAUGUAGGUUUCUGUCGGUCUACAAUUGAAGCAAGUUGACGUAAAACGUUGGAAGAAAUUAUUCAACACGGUCUUCCAGUGUUUCCAAUAUUAUCAUUACCAUUCCUCAACCAUUGAAUUUUAUGAAAAUACUUACAAUUUGCAAGUGAUAUUUGGUCUGUCUGGGUAAAACGGUCCUUUAACAUAGCAGUUGUUCUUCACGUGAAUACUGUAUUUUUUUAUAGCCAGAAAGUUUUACACUGAACAUGUGAUACACUAGUAUAUUGUCCAGCGGCACGUUCCACAAAACGAUAUUAGUACUAAGACCACAUAAAGUUGUUAUGCAUUUAAGUUUAUCUUAGUGCUAAGAUAGCUUUGUGGGACAGGGCCCAGGUGAAUAUAAUUUGGGAAGAAUGUUGCAUGAUGAAAGAAUGGUUCUUGUGUGUGAACUGGAUAUAUUGGGAGUUAGAAUAUGAUGGGUAAGGUAGCUGGGACUGGCAACAUGAAGUUUGGGUUACAUGUUCUGGGAAAGUGCUACCAAUUCUGUGUGUUACAUUAGUAACGACUGGUUGAGAUAAUAAUUAAUAAUAAUCUGGUGGUUGAUAUACUUGCUGGAAUGUACUGAAUGAAGGACUGAGAAACUGUCUGGAAUCAGAUAAGUAUUCUCAACAUAAUUCAUGAUGGGCCAGUACAUAUUUUUCAGCAAUUUUUCUGAAAUUACUGAUUCUUCUGUUGUGAUGUGUCGAUUUUGUGGCAGGAUCUGAAAGUAUCGUUACAAACCAACGUGUCAGGAAUCCUAGCCAAUGGCACAUUUAAGAAGUUUUCAUAAAUGCAUGAACAACCCAUCAUUAUGUUUAUCAUAGGUCAGAUUUUACUGAAACUGUGUUUAGACUUCAUUUGUGAUUAAAACUUGCCAAACUAAUACGACACCAGCAAAGAAUAUCAAAAGGUCGACUGGCCCUAAAUUUAAUUAAUUUUGAUGAGUAUAAAUAGUUGAUGAACUGGUCAGAAUGUGAUAAGUAAAGUGUUUAUAAACUGGUGGAAAUGUGAGUGAAUGUUUGAUGAAUGGUUGGAUUUUAAAGAGUGAAGAGUCAAAUUGGUUGGAUUGUGAGAAAUGAAUAGAGCUGGAAUGUGAUGAGUGAAUGGUUGGUGAAUGUGAACACUGACCAGAAUUUGGUGUUAACAUUUAGUGAAGUAAUUUAAAUGUGAUGAGUGAAAGGUUGGUGGACUAACUGGAACGUAAUGAGUGAACGGUUGGUGGACUGGCUGGAAUGUAAUGAGUGAACGGUUGGUGGACUGGCUGGAAUGUGAUGAGUAAAAGGUUGGCAGACUGGCAGGAAUGUGAUGAGUGAAAGGUUGGUGGACUGGAUUUCAGGAGUCUUUUGGUCAGCAUCGGUGUUCUUAAUGUACUGGUUAAAUAUCAAAGUGGUCUUAUUUGUCUUGGUUAGAACCAGAAUAAAACUGUAAUCAAGAAUGUUAUAUGUAUUUAUAUAAAAUAUGUUUUAAUUUUUCUUUUCUUUUCUUUCUUUCUUUCUUAGUACUUGGAAUAUUUAAUAUUUAUCUCGACACUGCCGGUUGAAUUUAGUUUUUUUAAUGGGAUUUUUUCAGAUUUUGAAGGUGACCAUCGAGAGCAGAUGGUAAACCAUUAUAGAAAUAUUUGACAAUAUUGUUUUCAGGGGGUGGGGUGGGAAUUCAAUUAUGGCAAUAAUGCUGGUUAAUAUAAUCAUUUUAAAUAUUCAUUCACAUUAUUUAUUAUCCUUUUCUUUCUUUUUUUUUGCUUCGAGUUAUUUAUUAAUAUAAAAACUGACUUAUCGUCUUGGUGGAAUUUUUGUAUUAUGUCCAUAUUUCAAUAAACUGCUGUAUAUUCAUGUAGAUAUCUGGUAUUAUUCUUUCAUCUUGUUGCACCAUGUUGGCUACAAUUUAAAUAGAGGGAAAUAAAACUUGUAUUUUUA